AGUGAACGCUGGCGGUAGGCCUAACACAUGCAAGUCGAACGGCAGCACAGUAAGAGCUUGCUCUUACGGGUGGCGAGUGGCGAACGGGUGAGGAAUACAUCGGAAUCUACUUUUUCGUGGGGGAUAACGUAGGGAAACUUACGCUAAUACCGCAUACGACCUACGGGUGAAAGCAGGGGAUCUUCGGACCUUGCGCGAUUGAAUGAGCCGAUGUCGGAUUAGCUAGUUGGCGGGGUAAAGGCCCACCAAGGCGACGAUCCGUAGCUGGUCUGAGAGGAUGAUCAGCCACACUGGAACUGAGACACGGUCCAGACUCCUACGGGAGGCAGCAGUGGGGAAUAUUGGACAAUGGGCGUAAGCCUGAUCCAGCCAUACCGCGUGGGUGAAGAAGGCCUUCGGGUUGUAAAGCCCUUUUGUUGGGAAAGAAAAGCAGCAGGUUAAUACCCCGCUGUUCUGACGGUACCCAAAGAAUAAGCACCGGCUAACUUCGUG
Molecule: ribosomal RNA, 492 nt
Filed under: uncultured bacterium
Lineage: Bacteria
Description: partial 16S ribosomal RNA
Rfam family: Bacterial small subunit ribosomal RNA
Source: RNAcentral